CCUGACGGCACUCACGCGGUGGUCCCUUCUGACCCCAUGCCGAACUCAGAAGUGAAACGCCGUAGCGCCGAUGGUAGUGUGGGGUCUCCCCAUGCGAGAGUAGGGAACUGCCAGGC
This 116-nucleotide ribosomal RNA is filed under the name Rosenbergiella gaditana. The record is from RNAcentral. Lineage: Bacteria; Pseudomonadati; Pseudomonadota; Gammaproteobacteria; Enterobacterales; Erwiniaceae.